This 824-nucleotide ribosomal RNA is filed under the name uncultured Chloroflexota bacterium. Its description in RNAcentral is "bacterial SSU rRNA". It matches the Rfam family "Bacterial small subunit ribosomal RNA", at positions 616 to 1444 of the family's 1533-position model. The record is from RNAcentral. Lineage: Bacteria; Bacillati; Chloroflexota.
GGAGAGGUCAUUCGAUACUGUUGGACUAGAGGACAGUAGGGGGAGGUGGAAUUCCCGGUGUAAUGGUGAAAUGUGUAGAUAUCGGGAGGAACACCAGUGGCGAAAGCGGCCUUCUAGGCUGUUUCUGACGCUGAGGCCCGAAAGCGUGGGGAGCAAACAGGAUCAGAUACCCUGGUAGUCCACGCCGUAAACGAUGGGCACUAGGUAUAGGGAGUAUCGACCCUCUCUGUGCCGAAGCUAACGCAUUAAGUGUCCCGCCUGGGGAGUACGGCCGCAAGGCUAAAACUCAAAGGAAUUGACGGGGGCCCGCACAAGCAGCGGAGCGUGUGGUUUAAUUCGAUGCAACACGAAGAACCUUACCAAGGCUUGACAUGUCGGAAGUAACAACCUGAAAGGGAAGUCACCUGUCAAGUCAGGAACCGUCACAGGUGCUACAUGGCUGUCGUCAGCUCGUGCUGUGAAGUGUUAGGUUAAGUCCUGUAACGAGCGCAACCCUCGUUGCCAGUUGCUUUCUCUGGCGAAACUGCCCUGCAAAAUGGGGAGGAAGGAGGGGAUGACGUCAAGUCAGCACGGCCCUUAUGCGUUGGGCUACACACACGCUACAAUGGGUGGUACAAUGGGUUGCAAUAGAGCGAUCUGGAGCCAAUCCUAGAAAAAGCCAUCCUCAGUUCGGAUUGCAGGCUGAAACCCGCGUGCAUGAAGUCGGAGUUGCUAGUAACCGCAGGUCAGCAUACUGCGGUGAAUACGUUCUCGGGCCUUGUACACACCGCCCGUCACGUCAUGAAAGUCGGCAACACUUGAAGUCGAUGGGCUAACCCCGGUUU